RNAcentral lists this signal recognition particle RNA (308 nucleotides) under Nicotiana sylvestris (wood tobacco). RNAcentral describes it as "Plant signal recognition particle RNA". It matches the Rfam family "Plant signal recognition particle RNA". The record is from Rfam by way of RNAcentral. Lineage: Eukaryota; Viridiplantae; Streptophyta; Magnoliopsida; Solanales; Solanaceae.
GUCGAGCCUUGUAACUUGGGCUUGUGACCCAAGUGGGGGCAACAAUUUGGUGGAAUCUUGGGUUGAUCCAGCCAAAGGCUGGGCUUUGGGUGGCUAAUGUCAAGCCUGCCCUAUCCAAGCAUGGAGUUGAGUCAUGUGGCCCAAACGAAAGUAUGGGCUUCUUAGCUCCUAGAGGGGGGUGGACCGCGUGAGGCUGGUUUCACAGAGCAACGAACAGCUCAUGCUUCGUGGAGUGGAAGGAUAACGAGCUGGUGCUAUCCAAGUCCAAUAAAAAUCUAAUGGGCUUCUCCAAUCAAACCACUGCUUUU